CAGGAAGUAGUUUAUAAAAAAUAUUAAUUUUGGAGAUUAAUGAAAAGAUUUUAUCUUUUUCCUGA
This 65-nucleotide transfer RNA is filed under the name Aegus fukiensis. RNAcentral describes it as "tRNA-Pro". RNAcentral also lists the same sequence under 1 other name. Lineage: Eukaryota; Metazoa; Arthropoda; Insecta; Coleoptera; Lucanidae. The record is from RNAcentral.